CUCCUGGAAACGGGUGGUAAUGCCGGAUGCUCCGACUCCUCGCAUGGGGUGUCGGGAAAGAUUUCAUCGGUAUGGGAUGGGGUCGCGUCCUAUCAGGUAGUCGGCGGGGUAACGGCCCACCGAGCCUACGACGGGUAGCCGGCCUGAGAGGGCGACCGGCCACAUUGGGACUGAGAUACGGCCCAGACUCCUACGGGAGGCAGCAGUGGGGAAUAUUGCACAAUGGGCGCAAGCCUGAUGCAGCGACGCCGCGUGCGGGAUGACGGCCUUCGGGUUGUAAACCGCUUUUGAUCGGGAGCAAGCCUUCGGGUGAGUGUACCUUUCGAAUAAGCACCGGCUAACUACGUGCCAGCAGCCGCGGUAAUACGUAGGGUGCAAGCGUUAUCCGGAAUUAUUGGGCGUAAAGGGCUCGUAGGCGGUUCGUCGCGUCCGGUGUGAAAGUCCAUCGCUUAACGGUGGAUCUGCGCCGGGUACGGGCGGGCUGGAGUGCGGUAGGGGAGACUGGAAUUCCCGGUGUAACGGUGGAAUGUGUAGAUAUCGGAAAAAAACACCA
RNAcentral lists this ribosomal RNA (553 nucleotides) under Bifidobacterium pseudocatenulatum. Its description in RNAcentral is "bacterial SSU rRNA". It matches the Rfam family "Bacterial small subunit ribosomal RNA", at positions 147 to 711 of the family's 1533-position model. The record is from RNAcentral. Lineage: Bacteria; Bacillati; Actinomycetota; Actinomycetes; Bifidobacteriales; Bifidobacteriaceae.